UGUGAGGCCAUAAGAGAGUUUCUCUCUUCUU
RNAcentral lists this non-coding RNA (31 nucleotides) under Rattus norvegicus (Norway rat). The record is from RNAcentral. Lineage: Eukaryota; Metazoa; Chordata; Mammalia; Rodentia; Muridae.